This 4600-nucleotide long non-coding RNA is filed under the name Brassica napus (rape). RNAcentral describes it as "long non-coding RNA (BNAP_LNC002065)". Lineage: Eukaryota; Viridiplantae; Streptophyta; Magnoliopsida; Brassicales; Brassicaceae. The record is from RNAcentral.
UGCACUAGUAUAUAUAAAAUGCUUGGUUAAAAAUGUUAAAUAUCAAUAUAAAUGAGAAAUGCAUAUAAGUCUUGAAUAUAUACAGGCACUUGAAGGGGGAAGAUAUACAGUCUCUCAACUUAAAAAACCUGAUGGCCGUAGAGCAUGCCAUUGAACAUGGCCUCGACAAAGUCCGAGACCACCAGGCAUGAAUAAUAUAUCUGUACAUUCAUUCAUACAUCUCUUCGUACAUUCAUAUUCAACAACUCUUGUAUGGUCUGUUUGUCUCAGAUGGAGUACCUCAUGACGAAAAGGAGAAAUGUGACCAUAUAAACAAAUUUCUAUACCUUACUAUUUAGCCUUCAGAUUGAUUAUUAAUUAGUGCUUACAGUUACAUCAAACAUUUUCUGUGGCAGGAAAAAAUGUUGGCGGAGGAGAAUCGGCAACUCAGUUUCCAGCUGGUACAUUUAAAGUCAUAUAUCCUUGAAGCCUUUAGCGUUAUUGAUUUGGUUUAAUAAUAUAUAUAUUAGUAUGUUUGUUGGGUUUGAUAUAUGCAGCAACAACAGGAGAUGGCUAUAGCUAGCAAUGCAAGAGGUAUGAUGAUGAGGGAUCAUGAUGGACAAUUUGGAUACAGAGUCCAGCCGAUUCAGCCAAAUCUUCAGGAAAAGAUUAUGUCGUUGGUCAUCGAUUGAUCAUUAGAGAUUUGAUGCAAUCUCAUUACCAAUCUACUAUCUAAUUCGUGGCUCUUUGUCUUUAUGAAUGUGUGUGUCUCUAUCAGACUUUUAUUUAGCUUACAUGUGUGUUGUUUGCUUAUGAAACCUCUAUGUAUUGGUUGUGUUGUAUGCCAAACUAAACGUUUGAAACUAUUUAAUUAUUGCAUGUGUGUGAAAACUAAUUAUUCUUUACUAAGCAAUACGUGAUUCGGGAGGUUUCUUUUUGAAAAGUUAUAAUUGGCCUCCGUGCUAGAAUUUUUUUGGAUCACAUUCAAGUUGUAUAAUGUUAUUAGGACUUAGGACAAGAUGCCUUGAGAGUGAUCAAACACAAGCCUUUAGUUCAAAAAAGAGUGAUCAAAAACAAUUUAUUAAACCGAAAAAGACUCAAAACUAUAUUUUAAAUGUAAUAUUAUUACAUGUAAACUGUUCUGUUCACGUUUGUGUCGUAUACAAUAUUUAUUCCCUAAAGUUUCUUUUAAAAACAGAGUUGUGUAGAAUCAAUCACACAUGCACCCUCAUGUUUAGCCUUCUCAACCAAACGGAGUGAAGAAUCAUUCGAAGCAUGUCAAACGGUUGGGACGGCCUAUUGAUAACGAAAUGUCUCUGGACCUGCAAAACUCUUCUUUGCAACACCUUGUAGCGUCUCAACGACACGCUCUUUAGUAUCGUUUUGAUCUCUGGGAUCUUCUCAGAGGGGACAUGAAUGGUGAACUUACUCCAAUCAAGAACGUCUGAGAAGGGCAAGGCGUAGUGAUCAGAGAUGAUGACAGGGACACAACCUAAGCUAAUGGCUGCUACGACUCGAGGGCUAGCCACUUCGUAGCCACUAGGACAGAGACAGAACCUUGCCUUGGCCAUGAGCUUGAAGUAGUCUUCCUUUCUUGGUAAGUACUCAUGGACUUGGACCUCAUCGUCUUUGUCUUUCCAAUGCUGCAGUAGAAUCUUGCGGAUAUUGCCGUGUACGCGGCCUGCAAAGAAAGCAAGGAUGGGUCGGUCAUGGCCGGAAGAAUUGGAUAACCUAGGUGGGCCCAGUUGGCCCAGGGGGAUGUUGAUCUCCGGGAUUGAGACAUCUCGUUGGGGCAUGAAACCUUCCGAUGUGUUGGCGUUGCAGAGAACUCUUAUCAUGUUUUUCAGCAGCUCCGGAUCCGAUCCCGAAACCUCUGGUGCCUGUAAGACGUUUUAUAAAUGUUGCGUGUUAGACACGAUAAGUAGGACCGGCUCAAAGUUUUUUAGACAACUUUGGACAGGAUUUUUUACAAGUUUUUAAUAACAAAAAAAUAUUCUACAACAACAAAUUAGUCUGAGUUUCUCAAACAAAAAAUAAAAACAAAUUAGUAUGAGUUUUCUCAAAGAAAAGCAAAUUAGUAUAAGUGAAUUAUUUAAUACUAUACGAUACUGUAAACAAUAAAGGUAGUUAAUUUUUUUAAAAUAAUAUAUUUAACUUUUUAAUAAAAAUGUUUUUAAAAAAAAUAAAUCAUUUUUUGACACUGAAAAAUUAAUUAAUUUUUUUUGAACUUUGGAAGCAUAAACUAUUAUUACAUAGAGGGUGAAAGCAUGGCCGGCUCAAAGUUUUUUAGGCACUUUAGGCAAAAAAAAAUUUAAAAGUUUUUAAUAGCAAAAAAAAAUAUUCUACAACAACAAAUUAGUAGUUUCUCACAAAAAAAAAACAAAUUAGUAUAAGUUUUCUCAAAAGAAAAGCAAAUUAGUACAAAUGUCUCUAAAAUUAUUUAAUAUAUGAUACUGUAAACAAUAAAGUUUGGUUAAUUUUUUUUUAAAAAAAAUAAGUUUUUAAUAAAAAAAAACUUUAAAAAAAUUAUAUCAUUUUUAACACUGAGAAAAAUAACUUUAUGAAGAAAACGAACCCAAUCAUGGCAAGAAACGAAGAAAUGGUCGGCUCCGAGGCUUCUAUUCCAAUAAGGAUACUUGUGAGUCACGACACUGACGUAGUCAAGAAACACUUUAUGAAGUUGUUCUCUUGAGUAGGUCACGAGCGGGUGGUAUAGGUACUCAACGACGUUGGCGACGCUAACCGGGAGGAGGAAGGUGUGAGCCUCGUCAGGGUGACUAGCCGCGAAUGGGCUCAUCCCUCUUUCCAUCUCGUCCACGAAUUGGCCUUCGAUGCUGUAUAUGUUGUUCAUUGGACCUAUGUGUACUAACGGUGUCUCUCCUUCUUUGUACACCCACACUUUGAAUCUCUUUUCCAUCUAUCUUCUUCUUCAUAUAAACCACAUAUCUUCUCCUCCAUAUCUUAACAAUUUCAUAGCAAACCCUAAAACUGAGAAGAGAGAGAAAAAAAAUGGGUAGAGGGAAGAUAGAGAUAAAGAGGAUAGAGAACGCAAACAACAGAGUGGUGACGUUCUCAAAGAGGAGGAAUGGGUUGGUGAAGAAGGCCAAAGAGAUCACGGUUCUUUGCGAUGCAAAAGUUGCUCUCAUAGUCUUUGCAAGUAAUGGUAAGAUGACUGAUUAUUGUUGUCCUUCCAUGGACCUUGGUGCUAUGUUAGACCAAUACCAGAAGUUAUCUGGCAAGAAACUAUGGGAUGCUAAGCAUGAGGUACUCUCUCUUUGAUAUAAUCUAAAGUUUCAUUGUCUCAAAAAAUAUUCUAUGACCAUUGAUUUUCAUGAAUUUCAUUGCCUAAAACAUGUCAGAUCCCUUGAAUCUUCAACUCUAGACGCAGAUCUACUCUAGUGUUUUGUCUCAAACAAAUAUUCUGUGCUACAUAUCAUGAAAUUGAUUCUUUAUUUAUAUUUUCCUAAAAUAUGUCAAAAAGAUAAACCAUGAACCCUAGAUGCAGAUCUACAAAGCUUUCUUUUGUGUGUUAAGCCUAUCAAGCCUCUUUAUUGAUUCUCUUGUACUCAAACAAGACAUGGAGCCACAAAACAUGGAAGUUAUUCUCUUCUUUCCAUUGUUUUCUUUUAUUAGUGCUUAGUUUUAAAGCUCUUGAUGGAUAUAUUCUAGAGUAAAAAACAUAUUGCAUUCACAACCUGUAUUUUGAAACCAUAAAAGACAAUCUUAAGUGUGUUAGAUCCAUAAGUAAUUUCAUUAUUAGGUCAUUAUUAUGGAGAUAAAAAACCUGGGGAGUGAUAUUACUGAUGAAAAUGUCUGAACAGUUUACCGAUUUUACAUUUGUGAUUUUCGAAACUAAUUAAAAACUGGGAAGUACUGUUGAAUAGACUUUUUUACAACAGGUCUAGUCAAAAUAUUAUAUUUUUAUUAAUUAGUUCGGACGAUAGGUUUUGUUCUCACAAAUGACAUAUAUAUCUCUAUACAGUAAUAAGCUUUCAUAGAGUUGUAAGCCAUUUAAGUGACUGCCUAGUAAUAUCUGUGUAUCUGCAUAUAUAUACUUUUUACAUAAAGCGUGAAUGUGUAUAAAUAUAUAUAUAUAUAUAUGUAUUUAUAUGCAUAAAUCAUGAGCAUAUAGAGAUCGUCAUGCAUAACCAGAUCUGAGUCUCCAGUUUCUUUUUAAGACAUAUUUUAUGUCUAGUGUAUGGACAAGGGAAUUUUUAGUUUGAUCUAAAUUCUUAAAUACCAAUUUUGUUCAUCUAAUACACAUCCAAAUAAUUUUGGUCUCCAGAACCUCAGCAAUGAGAUUGACAGGAUCAAGAAAGAGAAUGAUAACUUGCAACUCGAGCUCAGGUCAAUCUUCACCCUUGGCCACAUCUUUGCACUAGUAUAUAUAAAAUGCUUGGUUAAAAAUGUUAAAUAUCAAUAUAAAUGAGAAAUGGAUAUAAGUCUUGAAUAUAUACAGGCACUUGAAGGGGGAAGAUAUACAGUCUCUCAACUUAAAAAACCUGAUGGCCGUAGAGCAUGCCAUUGAACAUGGCCUCGACAAAGUCCGAGACCACCAGGCAUGAAUAAUAUAUCUGUACAUUCAUUCAUACAUCUCUUCGUACAUUCAUAUUCAACAACU